CGAGAAGACAUUGGCCUCCAUUCCAGUGGUGAAGGAGGGAAGGAUGGAUGGAAGAAAGGUGAAAUCCAGAAAGUAGAGAGGAAGACAAAAAAUACCUACAACACCGUCAUCCAGAGAGAUAACCACUGUUAACAUUCUGGUUACAAGAAGCUUUCACAGGAAUGUCGCUGAAUUCUGCUUAAUGUCUUUCAAAAUACCUAUCAGGACAGUUAUCAACAAUUAUAUGUCUAUUUUGACUUGCUGAUGUGACAGAUUAAUGUUUUUCUUAAUGUUGAAUUCUCCUUUCACAAUGGAAUGAACUCCACUUACUCACAAUAUAUUAAAUAUCA
Molecule: long non-coding RNA, 329 nt
Organism: Zalophus californianus (California sea lion)
Lineage: Eukaryota; Metazoa; Chordata; Mammalia; Carnivora; Otariidae
Exons: 3
Source: RefSeq, a predicted model, not a curated record